RNAcentral lists this ribosomal RNA (433 nucleotides) under uncultured bacterium. Its description in RNAcentral is "partial 16S ribosomal RNA". It matches the Rfam family "Bacterial small subunit ribosomal RNA", at positions 29 to 507 of the family's 1533-position model. The record is from RNAcentral.
AACGAACGCUGGCGGCAUGCCUAACACAUGCAAGUCGAACGAGACCUCCGGGUCUAGUGGCGCACGGGUGCGUAACGCGUGGGAACCUGCCCUUAGGUUAGCAAUAACUCACCGAAAGGGGUCCUAAUACCGGAUAAUGUCUUCGGGCAAAAGAUCUCUCGCCUUUGGGUGGGCCCGCGUUGGAUUAGCUAGUUGGUAGGGUAAAAGCCUAGCAAGGCGACGAUCCAUAGCUGGUCUGGGAGGAUGAUCAGCCACGCUGGGGCUGCGACACGGCCCAGAAUCGUACGGAAGGGUGGAGUGGGGAAUAUAGGACGAGGGGCGAAAGCGUGAUCCAGCCAGGCCGGGUAAGUGAUGAUGGCCGUAGGGUUGUAAAGCUCUUUUAGCCGAGAUGAUAGUGACGGUACCGGGAGAAUAAGCACCGGCUAACUACGUG